This 792-nucleotide ribosomal RNA is filed under the name uncultured bacterium. Its description in RNAcentral is "bacterial SSU rRNA". It matches the Rfam family "Bacterial small subunit ribosomal RNA", at positions 8 to 796 of the family's 1533-position model. The record is from RNAcentral.
AGAGUUUGAUCCUGGCUCAGAACGAACGCUGGCGGCGUGCUUAACACAUGCAAGUCGCGUGCGCAGUUGCCGUAGCAAUACGGUGAUGGGCGCACGGCGCACGGGUGCGUAACACGUGGGCAAUCUGCCCUUUGAUGGGGAAUAACCCGCCGAAAGGCGGGCUAAUUCCGCAUAAGAUUCCCGGAACUUCGGUUCUGGGAUUGAAAGCAGCAAUGCGUCGAAGGAGGAGCCCGCGCCCGAUUAGCUAGUUGGUGAGGUAAUGGCUCACCAAGGCUUUGAUCGGUAGCUGGUCUGAGAGGAUGAUCAGCCACACUGGAACUGAGACACGGUCCAGACUCCUACGGGAGGCAGCAGUGGGGAAUCUUGCACAAUGGGCGAAAGCCUGAUGCAGCGACGCCGCGUGGGGGAUGAAGCAUUUCGGUGUGUAAACCCCUUUCGACUGGGAAGAAUACCUCGCAAGAGGGGUGACGGUACCAGUAGAAGAAGCCCCGGCUAACUACGUGCCAGCAGCCGCGGUAAGACGUAGGGGGCCAGCGUUGUUCGGAAUUACUGGGUGUAAAGGGUUCGUAGGCGGUGCGGCAAGUUGGGAGUGAAAUCUCUGGGCUUAACCCAGAGGCUGCUUCCAAAACUGCUGUGCUCGAGUGUGAGAGAGGCUCGUGGAAUUGCAGGUGUAGCGGUGAAAUGCGUAGAUAUCUGCAGGAACACCCGUGGCGAAAGCGGCGAGCUGGAUCACUACUGACGCUGAGGAACGAAAGCUAGGGGAGCAAACAGGAUUAGAUACCCUAGUAGUCC